Molecule: small RNA, 120 nt
Filed under: Pseudomonas deceptionensis
Lineage: Bacteria; Pseudomonadati; Pseudomonadota; Gammaproteobacteria; Pseudomonadales; Pseudomonadaceae
Description: Pseudomon-1 RNA
Rfam family: Pseudomon-1/ErsA RNA
About the family: Functions to regulate the AlgC enzyme.
Source: RNAcentral
AAGCUCCUAAUGUUGUGUUAAGUGUUGGCAGAUAUCUGGACCCCGCCCUAGAGGUCCAGUACUUGAACCCCGAACUUCCGGUCCCCCCCGUGCGAAGUUCGGGGUUUUUUUUGCCCGCAA